Molecule: long non-coding RNA, 259 nt
Filed under: Mytilus galloprovincialis (Mediterranean mussel)
Lineage: Eukaryota; Metazoa; Mollusca; Bivalvia; Mytilida; Mytilidae
Source: RNAcentral
AUGGCUCACUAUAUACUCACUUAUAAAAUAUAUUUCACUAAUUGCAUAACUUCUAUUUUGAUAUGCCACUUUCGGUAAAUCAAACACGGACUUCCGGUAAAACUAACACCAACUUCCGGUGAAUAAACCACAGCUUCUAUAAACGCAAAUACGUAAUUUCUGCCACAUAACAUAUAUAUAUAUUUAUUGGCCGUUGUAUGAUACGUUAAACUAAACCUCACAACUGGUAUUUGGGAAGAUCCGUGUCAAUAAAUGGGAC